UGGCGCACGGGUGCGUAACGCGUAUGCAACUUGCCUCACAGAGGGGGAUAACCCGUCGAAAGACGGACUAAUACCGCGUACACUCCACUUUGGGCAUCCAAAGUAGAGGAAAUGAAAUUCGCUGUGAGAUAGGCAUGCGUCCCAUUAGCUAGUUGGUGAGGUAACGGCUCACCAAGGCGACGAUGGGCAGGGGAACUGAGAGGUUGAACCCCCACACUGGUACUGAGACACGGACCAGACUCCUACGGGAGGCAGCAGUGAGGAAUAUUGGUCAAUGGGCGAGAGCCUGAACCAGCCACGUCGCGUGAAGGAUGACUGUCUUAUGGAUUGUAAACUUCUUUUAUACGGGAAUAACAAGAGUCACGUGUGGCUCCCUGCAUGUACCGUAUGAAUAAGCAUCGGCUAACUCCGUGCCAGCAGCCGCGGUAAUACGGAGGAUGCGAGCGUUAUCCGGAUUUAUUGGGUUUAAAGGGUGCGUAGGCGGCCUGUUAAGUCAGCGGUGAAAUCUAGGAGCUUAACUCCUAAAUUGCCAUUGAUACUGGCGGGCUUGGGUGUAGAUGAGGUAGGCGGAAUGCGUGGUGUAGCGGUGGAAUGCAUAGAUAUCGCGCAGAACUCCGAUUGCGAAGGCAGCUUACUAAGGUACAACUGACGCUGAAGCACGAAAGCGUGGGUAUCAAACAGGAUUAGAUACCCUGGUAGUCCAC
RNAcentral lists this ribosomal RNA (704 nucleotides) under uncultured Porphyromonadaceae bacterium. Its description in RNAcentral is "bacterial SSU rRNA". It matches the Rfam family "Bacterial small subunit ribosomal RNA", at positions 96 to 798 of the family's 1533-position model. The record is from RNAcentral. Lineage: Bacteria; Pseudomonadati; Bacteroidota; Bacteroidia; Bacteroidales; Porphyromonadaceae.